GAUGAAGAACGUAGCGAAAUGCGAUACGUAAUGUGAAUUGCAGAAUUCAGUGAAUCAUCGAAUCUUUGAACGCAUAUUGCGCUCUCUGGUAUUCCGGAGAGCAUGCUUGUUUGAGUAUCAGUAAACACCUCAACUUCCAUAUCUUUUUUGAAAUGGGAGUUGGACUUGAGUGAUCCCAACGCUUUUCCUCACCGAAAAGUGGCGGGUUACUUGAAAUGCAGGUGCAGCUGGACUUUUCUCUGAGCUAUAAGCAUAUCUAUUUAGUCUGCCUAAAAAACAGAUUAUUACCUUUGCUGCAGCUAACAUAAAGGAGAUUAGUUCUUGUGCUGACUGAUGCAGGAUUCACAAAGACAGGCUUCGGCCGACUUUGUAAACUCGAUCUCAAAUCAAGUAAGACUACCCGAUGAACUUAAGCAUAUCAAUAAGCGGAGGA
This 433-nucleotide unclassified non-coding RNA is filed under the name soil metagenome. RNAcentral's name for it is "partial contains 5.8S ribosomal RNA, internal transcribed spacer 2, and large subunit ribosomal RNA". The stretch from base 1 to 120 matches the Rfam family "5.8S ribosomal RNA", at positions 35 to 154 of the family's 154-position model. The record is from RNAcentral.